Molecule: long non-coding RNA, 770 nt
Organism: Prunus persica (peach)
Lineage: Eukaryota; Viridiplantae; Streptophyta; Magnoliopsida; Rosales; Rosaceae
Exons: 2
Source: RefSeq, a predicted model, not a curated record
GUUGAUGAGUUUAAAAUGUUAUUUUAUUAAAAGCCAAUGGCCUUACCCAUGUGCUCUUUAAGCUUGUUUAAUUUGUAUUUGAAAUAAUGUUUUUGCCCUGUGUAUUUUAAAUGGGAGGCGGAGAAGUAGUCUUUCGUCAUUUUCUGGCAGAGAAGCCAUCGAUGACAGAGGAGGUGUUUUUUGGCGUAGAAGCAAUUGAUGACGACCAUGGCUCGUCCUGGCGUCGCAAUUGCCGACGAGGAAGGCUUUUUUCGAUCCAUGGAAAAGCAAUCGGAGGAUCGAUGUCAGCGAAUUCACAAAGAUUAAAGGCUCUUCCUGCUAUUUUGGCGACUAGGCCUAAUAGAUCUCCGUCUCCUGGGUUGAGGGCAACAUAGUUGGUGAUUGGCGAUGGCUGGCAAGUGAGGGACGACGGUGGCUGGUCGGAAGCCUACAAAAGAUGGUAGUGGGUGACGAGGGAUGGCGGCGGCUGGUCGGAAGCUGACGAGGGUAGGCGACCGUGGGCCGGGAGGUGCUUGUCGCCAAUGGGUGGUGGGCAGUGGCGGCUAGCCGGAAGGGUGAUUGGCAAAAGAGGACAUGUGGCAUAGUGUGCUUGAAUUAGAAGGAGUGGCAUUUUGUGUAAUUUUAAUAUUUUUUAAUUACAUUAUUGUAAAAUUAGGGUACUACUUUUGGAUCUUUGGCCUUAUGCUAAUUAGGUGAAGUUGUAUUCCUAUGUUCCAAAUUAGAAAACUAUAUAGUGUCUUAAAAUGAAAGCUCCCUAUAAAAUAUUAGUA